AAGGAGUCUAACAUAUCUGCGAGUAUUUGGGUGUCAAACCCGAGUGCGCAAUGAAAGUGAACGUAGGAGCCACGCGCAAGCUGCAGCUUCGACCGAUCUGGAUCUUUAGUGAUGGAUUUGAGUAAGAGCAUAUAUGCUGGGACCCGAAAGAUGGUGAACUAUGCCUGUAUAGGGCGAAGCCAGAGGAAACUCUGGGUGAGGCUCGCAGCGGUUCUGACGUGCAAAUCGAUCGUCAAAUAUGGGCAUGGGGGCGAAAGACUAAACGAACCUUCUAGUAGCUGGUUUCCGC
RNAcentral lists this unclassified non-coding RNA (289 nucleotides) under uncultured fungus. RNAcentral's name for it is "partial contains 5.8S rRNA, ITS2 and 28S rRNA". It matches the Rfam family "Eukaryotic large subunit ribosomal RNA", at positions 668 to 961 of the family's 3401-position model. Lineage: Eukaryota; Fungi. The record is from RNAcentral.